This is a regulatory RNA element of 87 nucleotides. It matches the Rfam family "RpsF leader". Rfam says of the family: Conserved and widely distributed to many bacterial species RNA structure. It precedes operon containing rpsF, which encodes ribosomal protein S6. The record is from Rfam.
AUAUGUUUUUUUUGCAUUCCUUGCUUCCAUUGGAUGUGUGUUAUCUAUAAUUAGUAGGCUAAAUAAUCCAUAAGGAGCAAUUCUAUG